This 182-nucleotide small RNA is filed under the name Williamsia sp. RNAcentral's name for it is "c-di-AMP sequence". It matches the Rfam family "c-di-AMP riboswitch aptamer (ydaO/yuaA leader)". From Rfam's summary of the family: This family represents a conserved RNA structure found upstream of the ydaO and yuaA genes in Bacillus subtilis and related genes in other bacteria. The ydaO/yuaA element is thought to act as a genetic "off" switch for the ydaO and yuaA genes in its native state. RNAcentral also lists the same sequence under 1 other name. Lineage: Bacteria; Bacillati; Actinomycetota; Actinomycetes; Mycobacteriales; Nocardiaceae. The record is from RNAcentral.
GUGAGGUCGCCGCUCAAUCACCUACCAAGGUGAACCGGGGAACCACUGAUGCCGACCACGAGUCGCAUCCGGGGUGAAUCCCACCGGACCCUGAGGCCGAGAGGUUUUCGGGGUUCAACGGGUAGGGCCAUCUUCCGGCCCGAAUCCGACAGCUAACCCGGUCGGCGGACAGGGAAGAAACA